CGUGUAGGCGGGCCGUUAAGUUGGGGUGAAAGCCCGAGGCUCAACCUCGGAACUGCCUUCAAAACUGGCGGCCUGGAGCAGAUGAGAGGCGAGUGGAAUUCCGAGUGUAGAGGUGAAAUUCGUAGAUAUUCGGAGGAACACCAGUGGCGAAGGCGACUCGCUGGCAUCUUGCUGAUGCUGAGACGCGAAAGCGUGGGAGCAAACA
RNAcentral lists this ribosomal RNA (205 nucleotides) under uncultured bacterium. RNAcentral's name for it is "partial 16S ribosomal RNA". It matches the Rfam family "Bacterial small subunit ribosomal RNA", at positions 568 to 774 of the family's 1533-position model. The record is from RNAcentral.